Molecule: long non-coding RNA, 614 nt
Filed under: Homo sapiens (human)
Lineage: Eukaryota; Metazoa; Chordata; Mammalia; Primates; Hominidae
Description: non-protein coding lnc-PRRG1-2:1
Source: RNAcentral
GCCUCACACCCACCCAUAGAUGAAGGUCUUUCCCCCACUGAAGUCAAAAAAGAAUAUCUCUAAAAGGUUUCAUCAGUAUGAACACUUAAAACAUGCAGAAAUAUUGUUGGAAGUGGGAACGUGAAAGGUGCUGCUAUGUUGCUAGAAGAAGUUCUCGAUCAAUGGAUGACAGUUAAUACUUUGGAUUUCUUCAUGCAGAUCAGAACUCUACACUGAAGCAAGCUGUUCAGUCAUGUCUUCAGGUCUAAUAUCUGAAUAUUAUGGAGCAGGUGGUACUAAUAUUAAUAAUCCAGUCAAAGUUUUUGUUCCAAAAUACAAUGACUAUUUGAUGGCCUAGCUUUAGGAUUAUAUUGAUCAUGAAACUUUUUUUCUUCUAAUAUUGGUGUCCUAUUUUCCAAGAAUUUUAUGUCUGUGGCCAAGACUAUUAAGUGUCUGUUCAAAUUUUACGCCCAUAUUUCUUACUAGCACUUUGGGUCUGUGGUGCAACCACAAGAAAACUCCCAUGGCAACACCUUCUUCAAUACCUUAUUUUAUUUGUUCAAGAGUUCAAUUUGACUGAUAGGCAAGAAUUGGCACCACUUCAAGAAUUCAUUGAGAAACUUUAAUUGAAAGAC